GACGAACGCUGGCGGCGUGCUUAACACAUGCAAGUCGAACGGAAAGGCCCUGCUUUUGUGGUGUUCUCGAGUGGCGAACGGGUGAGUGACACGUGGGUAACCUGCCCUUGACUUUGGGAUAACUUCAGGAAACUGGGGCUAAUACCGGAUAGGAGCUCCUGCUGCAUGGUGGGGGUUGGAAAGUUUCGGCGGUUGGGGAUGGAUUCGCGGCUUAUCAGCUUGUUGGUGGGGUAGUGGCUUACCAAGGCUUUGGCGGGUAGGCGGCCUGGGAGGGUGACCGGCGACCUUAGGCCUAAGGGAGGGACCAGAGUGCUACAGGAGGCAGCAGUGGGGAGUAUUACACAAUGGGCGGGAGCCGGAUGCAGAAACGCCGCGUGCGGGAUGACGGCCUUCGGGUUGUGAACCGCUGUCGCCUGUGACGCAGCGGGAGUGACGGUAAUGAGUAAAGAAGCACCGGCUAACUACGUG
Molecule: ribosomal RNA, 468 nt
Filed under: uncultured bacterium
Lineage: Bacteria
Description: partial 16S ribosomal RNA
Rfam family: Bacterial small subunit ribosomal RNA
Source: RNAcentral